This is a long non-coding RNA of Dermacentor albipictus, 281 nucleotides long. RefSeq lists it as uncharacterized. The record is from RefSeq and is a predicted model, not a curated record. NCBI's taxonomy places the organism in Eukaryota, Metazoa, Arthropoda, Arachnida, Ixodida, Ixodidae.
AUCAACUGUGACAACUGUCGCGCGCAUCAACGUCGCUUCACCUCCGACUCGCAGACCUGUACCGCCGUCGUCCUUUCUUCAGUAACGCGCAGGACCCACAAGGAUUUCAGUCCAUAUGGCUCAAAGCUACGAUAACCUUGGAAACAAACAGCCUGGAGACGAUCCUGCUUCCCAGUACGAAUAUGACCCUGCUAACGAGUCUGAAUACUACUACGGCACGGACCAAACAUCCUAUGUGGAAACUACCACAGGGCAGUCGCAAAUCCCCAAGUCUAGUGGUA